GCUCCGGUCGCCUAGUGGUUAGAGUUUCCGCCUCAGAUGCGGAAAGUAGUAGGUUUGAUUCCUGGCCGAGUCA
Molecule: non-coding RNA, 73 nt
Organism: Potamilus streckersoni
Lineage: Eukaryota; Metazoa; Mollusca; Bivalvia; Unionida; Unionidae
Source: the annotation of a GenBank genome assembly